AAGAGUUCGUAGGUGGUUGAAAAAGUUAGUGGUGAAAUCCCAGAGCUAAACUCUGGAACUGCCAUUAAAACUUUUCAGCUAGAGUAUGAUAGAGGAAAGCAGAAUUUCUAGUGUAGAGGUGAAAUUCGUAGAUAUUAGAAAGAAUACCAAUUGCGAAGGCAGCUUUCUGGAUCAUUACUGACACUGAGGAACGAAAGCAUGGGUAGCGAAGAGGAUUAGAUACCCUCGUAGUCCAUGCCGUAAACGAUGUGUGUUAGACGUUGGAAAUUUAUUUUCAGUGUCGCAGCGAAAGCGAUAAACACACCGCCUGGGGAGUACGACCGCAAGGUUAAAACUCAAAUGAAUUGACGGGGAUCCGCACAAGUAGUGGAGCAUGUGGUUUAAUUCGAAGAUACGCGCAGAACCUUACCAACACUUGACAUGUUCGUCGCGACUCUAAGAGAUUAGAGUUUUCGGUUCGGCCGGACGAAACACAGGUGCUGCAUGGCUGUCGUCAGCUCGUGUCGUGAGAUGUUGGGUUAAGUCCCGCAACGAGCGCAACCCUCACUUUUAGUUGCCAUCAUUAAGUUGGGCACUCUGAAAGAACUGCCAGUGAUAAGCUGGAGGAAGGUGGGGAUGACGUCAAGUCCUCAUGGCCCUUACGUGUUGGGCUACACACGUGCUACAAUGGUAUCUACAACAGGAAGCAAGACUGCGAGGUCAAGCAAAUCCUUAAAAGAUACCUCAGUUCGGAUU
This 735-nucleotide ribosomal RNA is filed under the name uncultured bacterium. RNAcentral describes it as "bacterial SSU rRNA". It matches the Rfam family "Bacterial small subunit ribosomal RNA", at positions 563 to 1299 of the family's 1533-position model. The record is from RNAcentral.